AAUACAGUGCAUACCAUAUGAUUUUAUUUAUAGAAAUCCAAAAACAAGCAAGGUCCAUAGAUGGUGAUAUAGAGCAGAAUUGUGGUUAUCUUUGGGAAGGGGCACAAGAAAUUCUAUAGGGUGCUGAAAAUACAGUUGUCUCUCAGUACAUGCAGAGAUUGGUUCCAGGGCCACACCUGAAGAUACCCACAUCCACACAUACUCAAGUCCCAUAGCUAGCCUUUUGGAACCUGCAGAUACAAAAAGUUGGCCCUCUUUAUAAGUGGGUUUUGCAUCCCACCAAUAUUGUAUUUCUGAUCUGCAUUUGGUUGAAAAAAAUAUGCCUAUAAGUGGACUCACACUAUUAAAAUCCAUGUCAUUCAAGUGUCAACUGUAGCCUGGAUCUCAGUUGAGAUGGUUGGUGCCUACAUGGGUGCACACGAAUGCAAACAUUCAUCAAGCUAUAUGCUUAAGAUAUACGAACUGUUCAACCUCAACGAAAGAAAACAAAGGGAAAAACUCACAAAUACCAUAAAACCGUGGUUCUCAAAAUGUGGUUCCCAGUGCAGCACCAGGGAACAUGUUAGAAAUGCAAAUUCCCUGACCCCAUCACAGACCCACUGAAUCAGAUGGGGAUGGGGUCUAGCAAUCUGUGCUUUAACAAGCCAAGGUAAUUCUGACACAUGCUAAUGUUUAAGCAUCCUUGCCAUAAGAUGUGGGUAUUAUUAGCCCCACUUUGCAUAUUUAAAAAAGCUAAGGCUCAUAGAGAGAAAGUAACAUAUCCAAGUUCAGCCAACUACUAAGAAACUAAGUGUCAUGAGCUGCACAAGAUAAGAUAUAACCAGGCCCAUGCAUGUUUGUGUCUUUUCAUAAGGUCUGAUUUAUUGAUGCUUAUUCAACCAUAAAAGCCACAAGCUACAUGGAGUUCCCAAGAAGGAAAUUCUUAGUACUAUCCAUUUGCUUGGUAGUCAGAGACAUGGCACACAGGCUCAAGCCACAGCAUAGGUCAGUCAAAAUUGCAAAACCAUACAUAGUAGUAUACUCAAUAUAUAAAUGUUACAGAUUACAUCAAACAGAGUAACAUUUAACAUCAAGAGAAGAGGGGUGUAUUAGUCAGGGUUCUCCAGAGGGACAGAACUAACAGGAUAUAUGUAUAUAUGAAAGGGAGUUUAUUAAGGAGAAUUGGCUCACGCAAUCACAAGUUAAAGUCCCACAAUAGGCUAUCUGCAAGUUGAGGAGCAAGGAAGUCAGUGGUGGAUCAGUCUGGGUCCCCAAACCUCAAAACUGGGGAAGCCAACAGUGCAGGCUUCAGUCUGUGGCCAAAGGCCUGAGAGCCCCUGGCAAACCACUGGUGUAAGUCCAAGAGUCCAAAAACUGAAGAACUUGGAGUCUGAUGUUCAAGGGCAGGAAGCAUCCAGCAUGGGAGAAAGAUGAAGGCUGGAAGACUCAGCAAGUCUGCUCUUCCAUCUUCUGCUACCUGCUUUAUUCUAGCAUCACUGGCAGCUGAUUAGAUGGUGCCCACCCAGAUUGAGGGUAGGUCUGCCUCUCCCAGUCCACUGACUCAAAUGUUAAUCUCCUUUGGUAACACAGUCACAGACACACCCAGGAACAAUACUUUGCAUCCUUCAAUCCAAUCAAGUUGACACUCAAUAUUAACCAUCACAAGGGAAUUUAAAAUGGGGUUAAUAAACCAGUCCAAGGAGAGUGACGUGUACAGACAGAGAGUGUCCCAGGCUGAUCUGGAUGGGAGUCAACGUCUUGCAAGGAAGAGUCCUUGAUUUGGGCAGAGACUUCAGCAGCAGUUGCUGGGUGCUGAGGUCCUUAAUGUCCUGUUGCCAUCUCCUCUCUUCCAGUCUUUUAAGUUCCUCUAAGAGUCUCAGAGUCUUGCUUUGCAAACUGAUGUCUUGGUCCCCAACUCCAACUCCUUGGCCUCUCAGUGGGAAGCAAUUGCACCUGCCCAGUCCCUUUUAUCUAAGUCAGCCUUCAGCUCCCAUGCCUCACUCUUCUGUGCAAGGGGUUCAGAUGGAUUUCUAUAAUAACUAGUCAUAUCUCUUUUCUCCAUCUGAGUUAGAGUCAAUUAAGAAAUAGGAUACUGGAGUCAGGCAAAUAGUGUGAAUUUGGAUAAUUCAGCAGCUAUUCAUUCCCCUCUCUGUCUAUUGGACUGGACAGAGCAGAUUUCCCUGGGCCACUGAGGCUGUGCUUGGCCCCAUGACUUUCUUUGGCCAGUGGAAUGUCUGCAAAUGUGACACAAGAAGAGGCCAUCACUGUGCUCGAGCAGUUUAGCUUGGCGUUUGUUCUAGGUGGCCCACUGGUCCUGUGUGAUCGUGGGCAGGUUGCUUAACCUCUCUGAGCUGCAUUUUCUUCAUCAGUAAAGUGGAGAUGAGAUGAUCUAUUUCAUAACUUGAUGAGAUAACAUGCAUCUAACGCCUAAUGCAUUGUUUUCUUCCCUGACCAGUUCCCACCACUGACUACCAGGCCUGAGACGCAGUGCAUAGAGUCAGGUCUUAGGAGCCUCUAGGCCAGGAGUGAUAG
RNAcentral lists this long non-coding RNA (2511 nucleotides) under Homo sapiens (human). Its description in RNAcentral is "HSALNT0172517". The record is from RNAcentral. Lineage: Eukaryota; Metazoa; Chordata; Mammalia; Primates; Hominidae.